GUAGGCAAGGCAUCUUUUGGAGACCCAAGAAUUUUUGUUAACGUUGCUGUAAAUGGACGGUUUCUUAUUAGUAUGCCUGUACGAGCGAUUCCUGUGCUUGAGCUUCGGCUCGUGGGCACUUACCGCCACAUCACUUGGUUGCUUAUGGGCAACAAUGACAGCUAUCACAAUCAUGUUGUUGUCCAUCCGGACUAUCAGGCUACUUGGCUAGAAGCUGUAUUUUUGUCAGGACUGCAGGGUAUGAGAUCGAUGUAUACAUGCAUGCCCUAGACUCAGGUGCCCCGGAGUGAAAUGGGAGUCGAACGGCUAGACAUGCCAUACAAUGUUGCCUUCUUUUCCGCAAUACCCUGAUUACCCAAUUCCUGAUGUACAUUCCGAUUCGUGUCUCUACUGCAGAACUUUAGCUCAUAGAGCAGAAAACUCGUAUCAUCUCUCUAUGUAUGGUGUCGAGCAAUGGAACUGCAGUGAUCUGGCAGUGUGACUGUUGACCUCCUUGACACCAUUCACGUUCGUCGCUCUGAACCCACUCAGCAGACAAGUUGGCAUAGACAUGUUUACAUCAGCAAUCUUUUCUUUGAGAUAUCUGGUGGCCUUUCGUAACCAUCGAAUUCAAGUCAUCUUUGAGUACAUGACAUCUUCUGAAGUUCAUGCCAUCAUGCUUUAGUUUUCCCACAUGAGCUGAGAUUAUUCAAAUAAAAAGACGGUCUCAGGCACAAGAGCAUGAUGUGCUUCCGCCAGUUGCUUUCACACCAAGGCCACGCGGUUGAUCAUCUAAGCGCACCUAUGAAGUUGACCAACAAGGAAGUUGGCCAGAGCUACUAAUUAGUAUGCCUAAUUGCUAUUACAUUAUCCUUUGCAUCAAGAGGUAUCAAGAAGGAUUCCUGGCAUCGUCGCCGGGGAGAUAUACGCCAAGUCAAGACAUACCAAGUACCCAUCACAACUCUUGUCCUUUGCAUCACAUUAUUUGUCAUUUGCCUCUUGUUCUCCUCUCCUCUACUUCAUCCUUGCCAUUUUAUUCGCCCUCUCUUUCCCGUACGCCUCUUUCUUGCUUACCUCUUGUUGCUUGUUACCCUUAUGGAUUUACCAAAAGGAGUUGAUCCUCACCUUACAAGGUUGGAAGAAAUCGAAAACAAAGAUAGAAGUUUUAUGUCCUUGCAGUUUGAGCAUAAUAAUUUCUCUAGAAAUGAGCUUAAAGAACAAAAAAGUUUUAUCAGUUUCAUGAAUAAAGAGCUCAAUGAUAUGUCUAAGGAAUUUUAUGGUUUGAAAUCUCAGCUUGCUCAUUUUGAAAAAUUAAUUGCUGAAAUCUCGGAUAAAUAGGCCACCUUAGUUAAUAAGAUGGCCGCUAAACCGAAAAGUUUUCAUGAUAAUAAGGAUGAAGAUCUAAAAGUGAUUGUUGUGUCCCCUAUUAAAUCCUUGUUUUGCAAUAUGAAUCUUGAUAAUUAUGGGACUGGAGAUGAGUCAACAUUAGUUAGAAGGCGUCCCAAUGAUUCAAAGUUUUUAGAUCU
Molecule: long non-coding RNA, 1505 nt
Organism: Triticum aestivum (bread wheat)
Lineage: Eukaryota; Viridiplantae; Streptophyta; Magnoliopsida; Poales; Poaceae
Exons: 4
Source: RefSeq, a predicted model, not a curated record